GAAACUAUUAACUGUUUACUAGAGUGUAGAACAGUAUAGCUUAGUCUACCUUUUAGCUAGAUUCUCUUUACUUUUUAGAAUAAUCAACAUUAACAAUUUCACCAUUUCUAUGUACAACACAUUGUAUGGGCAGCAAGACAGGUUGUUAUGGAGGGGUUAUGAGGACAAGUGGCACGGGAUACGUAAAUCUAAAGAAAAAAGAGUGGAUCUAUGCAAAGCUAGCUAGUUAGAUAGCUGCUCUUUCUAUUUUUGUUGCUAAAUUAUCUUUGUUAAGAAGUGGAGCUAUGGCUCCUCUUGAUGAUUGUAAGUACUGGGCUGAUGAAAUAGUCCUGUACAAGUUGUAACUUUUUUAAAUAACCCCCACGUACACACAGUAAAUUUCAUUGUAAAAGAUGAAGAACGUUUGGUGAGUUUCUUCAACGUCCGCGCUUGACCUGUUUAAAGCUUCGUAGAGAGCAAAUUUUUACAAGUAGGUAGAGGAAAGGCACCUGUGAAAAAAAGUAAUUUUUACUUCAUUUCUACUGUUUUGGCUUAUAGCUCAAUUUAUUGUAGAGGAGAGUGAUUGGAAACGCAUGGGUGGACUCAGUACGAUUCUGGCCCAUCCGUGUUUCGUCCACGCCCACGCAAUGCUGUAGUGGCAACAGAAGCAAGGCGUCUUUUAGAAGGACAGAGAAGUGCCUUGGCCUCACAAACAAAUACACCUAUGCCAGCAAGUACUAUGCUCUUAUGUACCUAGUAUAGUUGUAACCUUAACCUAGAAGUGUCUACUAAAGAAGUUUCAUGUAGCUUUCCUUGACUGGCUGAGGAUUGUGGGAUUUUUUAACUCUCCAAAAAGAACUACAGCCUGUUUGACGGGUACAGUGGUGUGUUAAGUGUGUUUUGAAUGUAGCAACUUCAUGAUUGACUCUCCAUGGUAGUAUUUGCAAACAAAUUUAUUAUCACACUCGUGACUUUCGCUUGUGGGAUUUUGUGGAAGUGUAGUGUUGAAGUAGCAAAUGUUUAUAGGCUAGAAGUGACCUUUAAUGCUACUACAUGCUUUCGUACACUUCAUUUGUUCAUACGAAUGGAUCGGCAAGUUUUUUGGGGAAGAGUUAUGAGAGAAUAAACGACGGAAGUGUCAGUUGGAAGACCCAAGGGUUUACAUCGGCAGACUGUAGCACGUUCACUGAACCACUUACCAAAGAGGACAUUCAAGGAAAUUGCAUCAUUAUUUCUGUCUUUACAUCACGAGUACAAACAGUACAAUGAUAAUAAUAAUUAUUGUU
Long non-coding RNA from Halichondria panicea, 1265 nucleotides. RefSeq lists it as uncharacterized. The transcript has 3 exons. The record is from RefSeq and is a predicted model, not a curated record. NCBI's taxonomy places the organism in Eukaryota, Metazoa, Porifera, Demospongiae, Suberitida, Halichondriidae.